Molecule: ribosomal RNA, 497 nt
Filed under: uncultured bacterium
Lineage: Bacteria
Description: partial 16S ribosomal RNA
Rfam family: Bacterial small subunit ribosomal RNA
Source: RNAcentral
GAUGAACGCUGGCGGCGUGCCUAAUACAUGCAAGUCGAGCGAACAGACGUGGUUCUUGCUCCUCUGACGUUAGCGGCGGACGGGUGCGUAACCCGUGGAUAACCUCCCUAUAUGACUGGGAUAACUUCGGGACACCGGAGCUAAUACCGGAAAAUAUAUUCAACCGCAUGGUUCACUAGUGUAAGACUGUUUUGCUGUUACUUAUAGAUGUUACCGCGCCGCAUUAGCUAGUGGGUAAGGUAACGGCUUACCAAGGCAACGAUGCGUAGCCGACCUGAGAGGGGGAUCGGCCACGCUGGAACAGAGAGACGGGCCAGACUCGUACGGGAGGCAGCAGUAGGGAAUCAUGCGAGAUAGGCGUAAGGAAGACGGAGCAACGCGGGAUGGCUGAUGGAGGUAUUGGGAUCUGGAGAUUCAGUGAUUAGGGAACAUCAAAUGUGUAAGUAACUGUACAAGUAUUGACGGUACCUGGUCAGAAAGCCACGGCUAACUACGUG